RNAcentral lists this ribosomal RNA (468 nucleotides) under uncultured bacterium. RNAcentral's name for it is "partial 16S ribosomal RNA". It matches the Rfam family "Bacterial small subunit ribosomal RNA", at positions 28 to 523 of the family's 1533-position model. The record is from RNAcentral.
GAUGAACGCUGGCGGCGUGCCUAACACAUGCAAGUCGAGCGAUUCUCUUCGGAGAAGAGCGGCGGACGGGUGAGUAACGCGUGGGUAACCUGCCCUGUACACACGGAUAACAUACCGAGAGGUAUGCUAAUACGAGAUAAUAUACUUUUAUCACAUGGUAGAAGUAUCAAAGCUUUUGCGGUACAGGAUGGACCCGCGUCUGAUUAGCUAGUUGGUAAGGUAACGGCUUACCAAGGCGACGAUCAGUAGCCGACCUGAGAGGGUGAUCGGCCACAUUGGAACUGAGACACGGUCCAAACUCCUACGGGAGGCAGCAGUGGGGAAUAUUGCACAAUGGGCGAAAGCCUGAUGCAGCAACGCCGCGUGAGUGAUGAAGGCCUUCGGGUCGUAAAGCUCUGUCCUCAAGGAAGAUAAUGACGGUACUUGAGGAGGAAGCCCCGGCUAACUACGUGCCAGCCGCCGCCGUAA